This is a long non-coding RNA of Alligator mississippiensis (American alligator), 1022 nucleotides long. RefSeq lists it as uncharacterized. Lineage: Eukaryota; Metazoa; Chordata; Crocodylia; Alligatoridae. The record is from RefSeq and is a predicted model, not a curated record. The transcript is spliced from 2 exons.
UUUUGGGGAAGGAGGAGGGAUUGGACGCUCCUUUCACCCCACUUAUCUCAGGGCCCUUUUCUUUCCUACCCGGGGGGCAGACAGCCCGUGUGAUGUUUGCUGAGCUGACCUGCAGGGAGCCUGAUGGACCCAGGGGAUGGGAACGGGGCUGUGUCGGGUUCGCUGCUCUGGGAAGGAAGCGCAUUAGAGCAGAGCAGGCGUGAGGACCAGGACUUGCAGGUUGUGCCCUGCUCUGGCUCUUCGAAAGGAGUGCUGUCCAGCAUGCCAUAGUGAGGGGCAUGGUUUGGGGGGACUCCUGCGUCCUGUUUCUAGCUGAGGGAAGGAGGGAAGGGGUGGGAGGAAGGCUCUGUGGCUCAGGACUCCUGGCUUCUUUUGGGGAUGUCUCUUCCCCAGAAUGAACCCACAAAUCAUCUGUGCAUUGAGUCAAUCGAUCCCUUGGGUGAUGCUGUCAGCACGUACAUGGAGCGGUGAUCAACGUGAGCCAUGAUGCACGACUGAUCCCGCAGACCAGCUGCCAGCUCUGGGUGGUGGAGGAGCAGUCCAUCAGCCACAUCAACGGCGACUUCGACUGCAAGCGGGAGGUGCUGGAGGCCUCGGGCCAGGUCAGCAUUAACUGGCCCCGGGAGUGACCUUGCUGUGGGGAGGCUCCUCGAGGACCUGCCCAUCCCCUCUCAGAGACCUGCCUCCACAGCUUCACGUGCACCCACACCCAGAGGACUCUGUAGAGGGGGCAGGGCCGCAGGCAUGGUUGUGGUUGAACUUUGAAGAUGUGUUUUGGGGGCCUAAUGCAAGACAUGUUAUAUUUUUAGAGCUGUUCUUCUACACCUGCUGCUUUCCCAGGAGAGAGAGACUUAAUUUAUAUGAAUGGUAGGGAGGGGGUUGUACUGGAACGGUCUGUUUUAGGCAGGAGUGAGGGCUGUCCUUGUCCCAUUGCUGGGUUCCCUGCCCCCAGUCUGGAGAAUGACUUGAGCCUUGUUUUGCUUCCACCCAAGAAGAUUAUAUUAAAAUAUAAUAAAGGAAAA